Molecule: transfer RNA, 67 nt
Filed under: Crocidura nicobarica (Nicobar shrew)
Lineage: Eukaryota; Metazoa; Chordata; Mammalia; Eulipotyphla; Soricidae
Description: tRNA-Val
Rfam family: tRNA
About the family: Transfer RNA (tRNA) molecules are approximately 80 nucleotides in length. Their secondary structure includes four short double-helical elements and three loops (D, anti-codon, and T loops).
Source: RNAcentral
CAAAAUGUAGCUUAACUAAAGCACCUGACUUACACUCAGGAGAUUUCACACUUCGUGACCAUUUUGA